This 704-nucleotide ribosomal RNA is filed under the name Streptococcus sp. HGFM106. RNAcentral describes it as "bacterial SSU rRNA". It matches the Rfam family "Bacterial small subunit ribosomal RNA", at positions 60 to 748 of the family's 1533-position model. Lineage: Bacteria; Bacillati; Bacillota; Bacilli; Lactobacillales; Streptococcaceae. The record is from RNAcentral.
CACAGGAUGCACCGUAGUUUACUACACCGUAUCCUGUGAGUUGCGAACGGGUGAGUAACGCGUAGGUAACCUGCCUGGUAGCGGGGGAUAACUAUUGGAAACGAUAGCUAAUACCGCAUAAGAACAUUUACUGCAUGGUAGAUGUUUAAAAGGUGCAAGAGCAUCACUACCAGAUGGACCUGCGUUGUAUUAGCUAGUUGGUGAGGUAACGGCUCACCAAGGCAACGAUACAUAGCCGACCUGAGAGGGUGAUCGGCCACACUGGGACUGAGACACGGCCCAGACUCCUACGGGAGGCAGCAGUAGGGAAUCUUCGGCAAUGGGGGGAACCCUGACCGAGCAACGCCGCGUGAGUGAAGAAGGUUUUCGGAUCGUAAAGCUCUGUUGUUAAGGAAGAACGUGUGUGAGAGUGGAAAGUUCACACAGUGACGGUACUUAACCAGAAAGGGACGGCUAACUACGUGCCAGCAGCCGCGGUAAUACGUAGGUCCCGAGCGUUGUCCGGAUUUAUUGGGCGUAAAGCGAGCGCAGGCGGUUAGAUAAGUCUGAAGUGAAAGGCAGUGGCUCAACCAUUGUAGGCUUUGGAAACUGUUUAACUUGAGUGCAGAAGGGGAGAGUGGAAUUCCAUGUGUAGCGGUGAAAUGCGUAGAUAUAUGGAGGAACACCGGUGGCGAAAGCGGCUCUCUGGUCUGUAACUGACGCUG